UAAACGACUCUCGGCAACGGAUAUCUCGGCUCUCGCAUCGAUGAAGAACGUAGCGAAAUGCGAUACUUGGUGUGAAUUGCAGAAUCCCGUGAACCAUCGAGUUUUUGAACGCAAGUUGCGCCCGAAACCAUUAGGUCGAGGGCACGCCGGCCUGGGCGUCUCAC
This 164-nucleotide ribosomal RNA is filed under the name Styrax aureus. RNAcentral's name for it is "5.8S ribosomal RNA". It matches the Rfam family "5.8S ribosomal RNA". Rfam says of the family: 5.8S ribosomal RNA (5.8S rRNA) is a component of the large subunit of the eukaryotic ribosome. The record is from RNAcentral. Lineage: Eukaryota; Viridiplantae; Streptophyta; Magnoliopsida; Ericales; Styracaceae.